This 248-nucleotide ribosomal RNA is filed under the name uncultured bacterium. RNAcentral's name for it is "partial 16S ribosomal RNA". It matches the Rfam family "Bacterial small subunit ribosomal RNA", at positions 523 to 769 of the family's 1533-position model. The record is from RNAcentral.
AUACGUAGGUGGCAAGCGUUGUCCGGAUUUACUGGGCGUAAAGGAUGCGUAGGUGGAUAUUUAAGUGGGAUGUGAAAUACCCGGGCUUAACUUGGGUGCUGCAUUCCAAACUGGAUAUCUAGAGUGCAGGAGAGGAAAGUGGAAUUCCUAGUGUAGCAGUGAAAUGCGUAGAUAUUAGGAGGAACACCAGUGGCGAAGGCGACUUUCUGGACUGUAACUGACACUGAGGCAUGAAAGCGGUGGGGAGC